GCCAGGUGCAGUGGUGCAUGCCUGUAAUCUCAGCAGCUUGGGAGGCUGAGACAGGAGGAUUGAGAGUUCAAAGCCAGCCUCAGCACAAGUGAGGCGCUAAGCAACUCAGUGAGACCCUGUCUCUA
This 125-nucleotide small RNA is filed under the name Marmota monax (woodchuck). The record is from RNAcentral. Lineage: Eukaryota; Metazoa; Chordata; Mammalia; Rodentia; Sciuridae.